Molecule: ribosomal RNA, 408 nt
Filed under: uncultured bacterium
Lineage: Bacteria
Description: partial 16S ribosomal RNA
Rfam family: Bacterial small subunit ribosomal RNA
Source: RNAcentral
GACGAACGCUGGCGGCGUGCUUAACACAUGCAAGUCGAACGAAGUGGCGAACGGGUGAGUAACGCGUAAUCAACCUGCCCUUCAGCGGGGGACAACAGUUGGAAACGACUGCUAAUACCCCAUACUGAAGGAGGGGAUUGCGUCUGAUUAGCUAGUGGGAGGGGUAACGGCCCAACAAGGCGAUGAUCAGUAGCCGGUCUGAGAGGAAGAACGGCCAAAUUGUGACUGAGACACGGACCAGACCUCUACGGGAGGCAGGAGUGGGGAAUCUUCCGCAAUGGACGAAAGUCUGACGGAGGAACGCCGGGUGAGAGAUGACGGCCUUCGGGUUGUAAAGCUCUGUUAAUCGGGACGCGGUACCGGAAUAGAAAGCAACGGCUAACUACGUGCCAGCAGCCGCGGUAAUAC